UACGGAGGGUGCUAGCGUUGUUCGGAAUCACUGGGCGUAAAGGGCGCGUAGGCGGCCCUCCUUGUCGCGUGUGAAAGCCCCGGGCUCAACCUGGGAACGGCGCGCGAGACGGGGGGGCUGGAGUUCGGGAGAGGAGCGUGGAAUUCCCAGUGUAGAGGUGAAAUUCGUAGAUAUUGGGAAGAACACCGGUGGCGAAGGCGGCGCUCUGGACCGAGACUGACGCUGAGGCGCGAAAGCGUGGGGAGCAAACAGG
This 253-nucleotide ribosomal RNA is filed under the name uncultured bacterium. RNAcentral's name for it is "partial 16S ribosomal RNA". It matches the Rfam family "Bacterial small subunit ribosomal RNA", at positions 524 to 776 of the family's 1533-position model. The record is from RNAcentral.